UGGGGAAUAUUGCACAAUGGGCGCAAGCCUGAUGCAGCCAUGCCGCGUGUGUGAAGAAGGCUUUCGGGUUGUAAGGCACUUUCAGUGGGGAGGAAAGGGUGUCGGUUAAUACCUGACAUCUGUGACGUUACCCACAGAAGAAGCACCGGCUAACUCCGUGCCAGCAGCCGCGGUAAUACGGAGGGUGCAAGCGUUGAUCGGAAUUACUGGGCGUAAAGCGCGCGUAGGCGGUAAGUUAAGCAAGCUGUCAAAGCCCCGGGCUCAACCUGGGAACUGCAGUUUGAACUGGCUUGCUGGAGUACAGCAGAGGAUAGUGGAAUUUCUAGUGUAGCGGUGAAAUGCGUAGAUAUUAGAAGGAACACCAGUGGCGAAGGCGACUGUCUGGGCUGAUACUGACGCUGAGGUGCGAAAGCGUGGGGAGCAAACAGGAUUAGAUACCCCCGUAGUCC
Molecule: ribosomal RNA, 449 nt
Filed under: uncultured prokaryote
Description: bacterial SSU rRNA
Rfam family: Bacterial small subunit ribosomal RNA
Source: RNAcentral